GCAGUCUGCAACUCGGCUGCAUGAAGCUGGAAUCGCUAGUAAUCGCGGAUCAGAAUGCCGCGGUGAAUACGUUCCCGGGUCUUGUACACACCGCCCGUCACACCAUGGGAGUCAGCAACGCCCGAAGCCGGUGACCCAACCUGUCAGGAGGGAGCCGUCGAAGGCGGGGCGGAUAACUGGGGUGAAGUCGUAACAAGGUAAC
Molecule: ribosomal RNA, 202 nt
Filed under: uncultured bacterium
Lineage: Bacteria
Description: partial 16S ribosomal RNA
Rfam family: Bacterial small subunit ribosomal RNA
Source: RNAcentral